GAUGAACGCUGGCGGCGUGCCUAAUACAUGCCAGUCGAGCGAACAGACGAGGAGCUUGCUCCUCUGACGUUAGCGGCGGACGGGUGAGUAACACGUGGAUAACCUACCUAUAAGACUGGGAUAACUUCGGGAAACCGGAGCUAAUACCGGAUAAUAUAUUGAGCCGCAUGGUUCAAUAGUGAAAGACGGUUUUGCUGUCACUUAUAGAUGGAUCCGCGCCGCAUUAGCUAGUUGGUAAGGUAACGGCUUACCAAGGCAACGAUGCGUAGCCGACCUGAGAGGGUGAUCGGCCACACUGGAACUGAGACACGGUCCAGACUCCUACGGGAGGCAGCAGUAGGGAAUCUUCCGCAAUGGGCGAAAGCCUGACGGAGCAACGCCGCGUGAGUGAUGAAGGUCUUCGGAUCGUAAAACUCUGUUAUUAGGGAAGAACAAAUGUGUAAGUAACUAUGCACGUCUUGACGGUACCUAAUCAGAAAGCCACGGCUAACUACGUG
This 497-nucleotide ribosomal RNA is filed under the name uncultured bacterium. Its description in RNAcentral is "partial 16S ribosomal RNA". It matches the Rfam family "Bacterial small subunit ribosomal RNA", at positions 28 to 507 of the family's 1533-position model. The record is from RNAcentral.